UCCUCUCUCUACUUCCACGCCAAUGCAAGAGAGGGGAUGGGCCCCUCUCCCUUCCUCAUGCCAAUCCAAGGUUGGCACCUCUUGGUCUUUCCAAAAGAGAUACAUGGUGCCAUCUCUUCUUUCCUAUAAUUCCACACACAAUAUCAGAAAACAAAUGAGGAGAUAAUGAUGAGAUAACUUAGCCAACUCAUUGACUUAAUGCAAUUCUCUUGGGCUCAUAAUUAGGCACCUAGCUAAAUCCUAAUGGAUUUAGGUUAGGU
Molecule: long non-coding RNA, 260 nt
Filed under: Elaeis guineensis (African oil palm)
Lineage: Eukaryota; Viridiplantae; Streptophyta; Magnoliopsida; Arecales; Arecaceae
Description: long non-coding RNA (EGUI_LNC020840)
Source: RNAcentral